CUUGGCUGCAUAAUUUCAACACCAUCAACAUCAAUUCCAUGUGACAGUAUUAAAUCUAGAGUAUGAUUUCGACAAUGAGUAGGUCCUGAGACGUGUUGUCUAACCCCAAUAGAGUUCAGAAUGUCUAUAAAUGCUGAUCCCAAUGCAUCUGUUAUGUUCAUUGUGUUAAGUGUUUUAGGUUUCACUCUUGGGACUCUAAUUUUGAAAAUUACCAGACUAAGCAAGGGAGCAGCCAUUUUGGUUUCAGUUUGCUCAGCUCUCUCAAGCUUUAAGCUCCAUGUGACUGCCGCUCCAGUUUUCUUUAAUGUUCAUGUCUUCGAAAGCAUUGUCAUUUCACUCUCCUUUGAAGCAUAUUGGAGUAAACAUCAGGAGUUUUGAAAACUACACCCUGGCUCCAGUCUUUAUUUGAAGGGAGUUUGGCUUGCUGCUAAAUUGUGUUCACACAUAUGGAAACACACAAGGAGAGCAGUACAGUGAAAUGACAAAUCAGCUGGCUGAACAUCUUGGCAGAAGCGUACAGUAGCAAGUAGUGAGCAUCAUGGCUGAAAGGUAUCUAAAAGACACCACGUUAGGAAAGAUACAAAGUAAAAGUAACAGAGCAUCUGACACAUCCUCUAAAAGUUCCAUAAGAACUUCAAGAUCAUCAAGAUCUUCAGUUGGUGUUGCUGCAGCACGUGCUAGAGCUAAGGCAGAGGCAGCACGUGCACGAGUUACCUUUUCAGAGAGAGAAAUUGCAAUUAAAGUGGACUCAGCCAGACUACAAGCUAAUUUGGAAGCCCUACAUCUGGAAAAAGAGGCUGCAGCUGCUAGUGCAGAAGCGGAUAUAUUAGAAGCAGCAGCAGAGUUUGAGGAUGAGGAGCCAUAUGAAAGGAAAAGUCACUCUUCAUCAGCACAAAGCACAAAAAAACGUGUUUGUGAUUAUGUCAGGGAUCAAGCUACAUAUCUCAGUGAGCAGGCCGACUUAACCGCUGAUCAGUCUCAUGAUUGCAAAUCUGAACCAGACCAAGUGACGGAUCAGAACCAGUUUACCUCUCAAACUGAACCAAAUAUAGUGCAUGUGAAUGAUGACCAGUAUGUCGUACUUGAUGCAUGUUCUACAUCUCCAUCUCUAAGAGUGCCAAAACUGCAACAAGUAAAACUCCCAAGAAACAUGAAAAAAGAGUCAAUAGAAAUACCAGUCAGCAAUAAAUGGCAGCAACAGGCUAAGUGCAGCGGUGUAUCCAGAUCUUUGCCACAACACUCAGAAACUUCAGGCAUGAUGGACCUAGUGAAAUAUCUUGCACGUCGUGAGCUGGUGAGCAGUGGUUUAACACGCUUUGAUGAUCACCCUGAAAGUUACAGAGCCUGGAGGUCCUCUUUUAUCAACACAAUCAAAGACUUGGGUCUUACGGCCAGUGAGGAGCUAGACUUGUUGUCAAAGUGGCUUGGUAAAGAAUCUUCAGAAUACGUAAGACGUCUCAGGGCAGUUCACAUAGGAAACCCAGACACAGCCUUGAAAAUGGUCUGGAACAGACUUGAUGAAUGCUACAGCUCACCUGAAGUAAUCGAAAGUGCAUUGUUUAAGAAGUUAGACAGUUUUCCCAGGAUUUCAGGUAAAGACAACCUCAAAUUAAGAGAGCUAGGAGAUCUUUUAAUGGAGCUUCUCUCAGCCAAAGAUGACGGCUAUCUACCAGGUUUAGCCUACUUAGACACUGCUCGCGGCAUCAGGCCCAUCGUUGAAAAACUGCCAUAUACCUUACAAGAGAAAUGGAUUUCUCAAGGCUCAAAGUUCAAAGAAGAAUUUGGUGUCACUUAUCCUCCUUUCUCGUUCUUUACUCAGUUCAUUUGCAAUCAUGCUAAAACACGUAAUGAUCCCAGCUUUGCCUUUUCUAGUAGUUGCCGCCCACAGUAUGAAGGGCUCACUGUAAACCGCUCUAACUUCAAGACGCCAGUGUUGGUGCACAAAACUGAAAUCUCUCAUAGUGCAUUUCAAGACAAAAUGCCUUCUAAAGAUGAUCCAGCCAAAUACUGUCCUAUACACAACAAACCUCACCCUUUAAGGAAAUGUCGAGGCUUCAGAUUGAAAACCAUCGAUGAGCGAAAAGCAUACCUAAAAGACCAAGGGAUCUGCUUUAGGUGCUGCUCUUCAUCAUCACACUUUGCUCGCGAUUGCAAAGUCAUUCUAAAAUGUGAUGAUUGCAACAGUGACAGUCACAACUCAGCUCUGCAUCCUGGUCCACCCUCAUGGACACCUAAAAUCCGAAGUCCUCCAUUACAGCAUGGCGGGGAGGAUGCAGGAGAAAAUCCAACAACACAAGAAGUGAGCUCCCUUUGCACUGAAGUUUGUCAUGGUCUUUCCACAAAAUCUUGUUCCAAAAUAUGUCUCGUCAAGGUGUUUCCUGUGGGGCAUCCUGAGAAUGCAGUAAAGAUGUAUGCUAUACUCGACGAUCAGAGCAACAGAUCUCUGGCCAGGUCAAGAUUUUUUGACAUAUUCAACAUCAAUAGUAAAGCAACUCCUUACAGCCUAAAGACAUGUGCUGGGUUGAUUGAGUGCUUAGGAAGGAAAGCAAAUGGCUAUCAGAUUGAAGCGGCAAAUGGUGGAAUCAGUCUUGCGCUUCCAACACUAAUUGAAUGUGAUGAAAUACCCAACAACCGUGAUGAAAUUCCAACACCUGAAGCUGCUCUCCAUCAACUUCACCUCAAGCAUAUUGCAUCUGAAAUACCAGACGAGACAUACUCAGAGUUCAUAAAGUGAGGAAACAAAUUAAUGGCCCAAAUAACACACCCUUUGGCCAAAAACUUGACUUAGGAUGGGUUCUGGUCGGUGAAGUAUGCCUAGGAGAUGUGCACAAGCCCAGUGUUUCCAGUUUCAAGACAAACAUCUUAGAAAAUGGAAGACCCUCACUGUUUAUUCCUUGUACAAGUCACGUACACAUUAAAGAAAAGAUCACCAGUAACUUAACAGCUCUGCAUACAGCCCAUGACUUCGAAGCCCACUGUAACAUGAACGAAGACAAUCUCGGCCAGACUCUAUUUAAGAGAUCAGAGAAUGACAAUAAGCCUGCACUCUCCGUCGAGGAUGAAGUCUUUCUAAAGAUUAUGGAGAAAGAUGUUUUCCAGGAUAAUUCCAACAGUUGGGUGGCCCCUCUUCCUUUUAGGUCUCCAUGCCCAGUUCUUUCGAACAACAGAGAUCAAGCUUUGAGCCGCCUCUCUUCCUUACGACGUACCCUAGAACGGAAGCCAGAUAUGAAAGAACAGUUUGUAACUUUCAUGCAAAAACUAUUCAACAGUGAUCAUGCAGAACUUGCAGCUCCACUACCAAAGGGAAAUGAAUGCUGGUACUUACCACUAUUCGGAGUCUAUCAUCCCAAAAAAACAGAUCAGAUCAGGGUAGUAUUUGACUCCAGCGCACAGCAUGAAGGUACCUCUCUCAAUAAUGUGCUCCUCACUGGACCAGACCUUAAUAACAGCCUCAUUGGCGUCCUGAUGCGCUUCAGGAAAGAAUGUGUAGCAGUGAUGGCAGACAUACAACAAAUGUUUCACUGUUUUGUUGUGAGAGAAGAUCACAGAGAUUACCUACGCUUCCUAUGGUACCGUGAUAACGACCUUAACAAGGACAUUGUUGAAUACAAGAUGAAAGUCCAUGUGUUUGGCAACAGCCCUUCCCUGGCGGUAGCGAUUUACUGUUUAAGACGAGCAGCAGAGAAGGGUGCUCUGCGAUACGGUCCAGACACCCGGUACUUUGUGGAACGUGGAUUCUAUGUGGAUGAUGCACUAAUCUCCUUGCCAACUGAAGAGGAAGCAAUAGACCUACUAAAGAGAACACAAGCAUCCCUCUCCGAAUCAAACCUGCGGCUGCACAAGAUUGUAUCCAACAGUCUACAAGUACUCAAAGCAUUCCCAACUGAAGAUCACGCGAAAGACAUCAAAGACCUCGAUCUCAGUGGAACAACUAUGCCUACACAACGCAGCCUUGGUCUGAAUUGGGAGACUGCGACUGAUACAUUUACAUUUAAAGUAUCAGUCAACGACAAACCAUUCACACGCCGUGGUGUCCUUUCCAUAAUUAAUAGUCUUUUUGAUCCUCUCGGUCUUGUGGCUCCUGUCACUAUACAGGGGAGGUUUCUACUUCGAGAGCUAUCCAUUGAAGGAACAGACUGGGAUGAAUCACUGCCACAAGAGAAACAUGGUGAGUGGGAAUCAUGAAGGGCAUUCAGUGAAAGACUUGCAACACCUUCACAUUCUUUGUCCUUACACACCCAACUCUCAUUCAAAGGCAAUUCACAAAGAAAUCUGUGUUUUCUCUGAUGCGUCAACAAAGGCCAUAGGGGCUGUAGCAUAUCUCAGGGCAGUAGAUGGAGAUGGACAGAUCAGCAUUGGCUUCAUCUUAGGAAAAGCAAAACUGACGCCAAAAAACCAGCCUACCAUACCCCGAUUAGAGCUUUGUGCUGCAGUCUUAGCAGUGGAGGUAGCAGAACUCAUUGUUCAAGAGAUUGACUUCAAACCGGAUGCUAUUACCUUCUACAGUGAUAGCAAAAUUGUACUUGGCUAUAUCUAUAACGAAACUAAACGUUUCUACGUCUAUGUCCACAACAGGGUGCAGAGAAUCAGACAAUUUUCAGAACCAAAGCAAUGGCGAUACAUACCCACAGAGCACAAUCCUGCUGACAUUGCUUCCAGGUCCAUCCAUGCAUCUCAGCUCGUGAAAUCAAACUGGUUUACAGGUCCAGCAUUCCUGCAUAAGCCACAUGAAGAUGAUUUCAAUAUGACAGACAACUUUGCGCUUGUGGAUCCAGAUUCAGAUACAGAAAUCAGGCCAAUUGUGACAGCUUGCACCACAGGAAUGAAGGAUAAACAACUCACCUCUGACAGGUUUCAGAGGUUCUCCUCUUGGAAACCCUUACAAAGAGCCAUUGCAUCGCUCAUCCAUGUAGCUUGCUCUUCUAGAUCCACCAGUGAAUCCAACACAUGCAGUGGUUGGCACCUUUGUUCACAAGCACACACUGUAAGUGGGUUGUUAAAAGCCAAGAAUGUGAUAAUCAGCUCUGUGCAAAAGGAAUCAUUCAACAAGGACAUCGAAACACUCUCUAAGGGAGGACACCUGAGCAGCAAAGUUCCACUCUCGAAACUGAAUCCUUUCUUAGAUGAGGACGGUCUACUCCGAGUCGGAGGCAGAUUAAAACUGGCAGAUUUAAACUACCCAGAGAAAAACCCAGUCAUCUUGCCCGGUAAGCAUCACGUUUCUGCGUUACUCAUAAGGCACUACCAUGAACGUGUGGAGCACCAAGGCCGCAUAUUCACAGAAGGGGCCAUUCGUGCUGCUGGAUUAUGGCUUAUUGGAGGAAAGAGAUGCAUAAGCAGUAUUCUUCAUGGAUGUGUAACCUGUCGUAAACUUCGUGGUAAACUUGAAAUGCAGAAAAUGUCAGACUUGCCACCAGAACGACUAAGUGUGUCACCACCCUUUACUUACACUGGCUUAGAUGUCUUUGGGCCUUGGACAGUGGUAGCUCGCCGAACAAGAGGAGGUCAAGCUCUCAGUAAACGCUGGGCGGUGCUUUUCACCUGCAUGAGCACCCGUGCAGUUCACAUUGAAGUCAUUAUGUCUAUGGACUCUUCGAGUUGUAUCAAUGCACUUCGCAGGUUUUUCGCGAUCCGUGGCCCUGCAAAACAACUGCACUCAGACUGUGGAACCAACUUUGUUGGUGCUUGCAACGAGCUUGAAUUCCACAAAGUUAUAAAAGAAACAAAGGUGCAAAGAUACAUCAAUAACGAGGGAUGCACAUGGGUUUUCAACCCACCACACUCCUCCCAUAUGGGGGGCGCAUGGGAGCGAAUGAUUGGUCUGGCUCGUAGAAUUCUUGACUCAAUGCUGAUGCGGGAAGGACAUUCUAACCUCUCAGAUGAAGUGCUUUGUACACUUAUGGCGGAAGUGACAGCAAUUAUUAACAGUAGACCUCUCGUACCUGUUUCUUUGGAUGCAGACUCACCCUUGAUUCUUACCCCUGCAAUGCUCUUAACACAAAAAGCAGUUUCUUCACCUCCAGCAGGAGACUUCUCUGAAAAGGAUAUCUACAAACGCCAAUGGCGGCAAGUACAGAGCCUAGCCAACCAAUUUUGGUUUCGCUGGAAACAGGAAUAUCUGCAAACGCUGCAAGUUUGUCACAAAUGGCAGGACCCAUACCCAAACAUUGAGGAGGGUGACAUAGUACUACUAAAGGACAAUCAAGUAGCCCGAAAUGAAUGGCCUAUGGCACUCGUCACAAGUGUUUUCCCUGGUCAAGAUGGAAAGGUUCGAAAGGUUGAACUUAAAGUGACUAAAGAAGGGUCCAGCAAAACCUUCUUGAGGCCUAUAUCUGAAGUAAUUCUCCUGCUAAGAAAAUAGGAAAACUCCUUUAAACAGUUGGUAUAGAUGACAUCUUCAUAGAUGUCAGGCGGGGAGUGUUAUGUUCAUUGUGUUAAGUGUUUUAGGUUUCACUCUUGGGACUCUAAUUUUGAAAAUUACUAGACUAAGCAAGGGAGCAGCCAUUUUGGUUUCAGUUUGCUCAGCUCUCUCAAGCUUUAAGCUCCAUGUGACUGCCGCUCCAGUUUUCUUUAA
This is a long non-coding RNA of Cyprinus carpio carpio, 6574 nucleotides long. The record is from Ensembl. Lineage: Eukaryota; Metazoa; Chordata; Actinopteri; Cypriniformes; Cyprinidae.